RNAcentral lists this ribosomal RNA (254 nucleotides) under uncultured bacterium. RNAcentral describes it as "partial 16S ribosomal RNA". It matches the Rfam family "Bacterial small subunit ribosomal RNA", at positions 524 to 776 of the family's 1533-position model. The record is from RNAcentral.
CACGUAGGGGGCGAGCGUUGUCCGGAUUUAUUGGGCGUAAAGAGCUCGUAGGCGGUUCGGCAAGUCGGGUGUGAAAUUUCGAGGCUCAACCUCGAAACGCCACUCGAUACUGCUGUGACUGGAGUCCGGUAGAGGAGUGCGGAAUUCCUGGUGUAGCGGUGAAAUGCGCAGAUAUCAGGAGGAACACCAACGGCGAAGGCAGCACUCUGGGCCGGUACUGACGCUGAGGAGCGAAAGCGUGGGGAGCAAACAGG